GGGUCAAGUGACCAAGCGCACACGGUGGAUGCCUUGGCGAUCACAGGCGAUGAAAGACGUGGCAGCCUGCGAAAAGCUGCGGGGAGCUGGCAAACAAGCAUUGAUCCGCAGAUCUCUGAAUGGGGAAACCCACCCGCAAGGGUAUCGGCUUCUGAAUCCAUAGGAAGUCGAAGCGAACCCGGGGAACUGAAACAUCUCAAUACCCGGAGGAACAGAAAUCAACCGAGAUUCCGUCAGUAGCGGCGAGCGAACGCGGAACAGCCACCAGCACGUAGCCAUCCGGUUAGGAGAACGGUCUGGAAAGGCCGGCCAUAGUGGGUGACAGCCCCGUAUCCGAAAACCCGAUGGUGGAACUAAGGCUGGAACAAGUAGGGCGGGGCACGUGAAAUCCCGUCUGAACAUGGGGGGACCAUCCUCCAAGGCUAAAUACUCGUGAUCGACCGAUAGUGAACCAGUACCGUGAGGGAAAGGCGAAAAGAACCCCGGCGAGGGGAGUGAAAUAGACCCUGAAACCGUGUGCGUACAAGCAGUGGGAGCCCCGCAAGGGGUGACUGCGUACCUUUUGUAUAAUGGGUCAGCAACUUACUUUCAGCGGCAAGCUUAACCGGUUAGGGGAAGCGUAGGGAAACCGAGUCCGAAUAGGGCGAAUCAGUCGUUGGGAGUAGACCCGAAACCGAGCGAUCUAUCCAUGACCAGGCUGAAGGUGGGGUAACACCCACUGAAGGGCCGAACCCACGUCUGUUGAAAAAGCCGGGGAUGAGUUGUGGAUCGGAGUGAAAGGCUAAUCAAGCUCGGAGAUAGCUGGUUCUCCCCGAAAGCUAUUGAGGUAGCGCCUCGUGUCUCACUCCCGGGGGUAGAGCACUGUUUCGGCUAGGGGGCCAUCCCGGCUUACCAACCCGAGGCAAACUCCGAAUACCGGGAAGUGCAAUCACGGGAGACACACGGCGGGUGCGAACGUCCGUCGUGAAGAGGGAAACAACCCAGACCGCCAGCUAAGGUCCCCCAGUUCCGGCUCAGUGGGAAACGAUGUGGGAAGGCCCAGACAGCCAGGAGGUUGGCUUAGAAGCAGCCAUCCUUUAAAGAAG
This 1085-nucleotide ribosomal RNA is filed under the name Candidatus Competibacter phosphatis. RNAcentral's name for it is "bacterial LSU rRNA". It matches the Rfam family "Bacterial large subunit ribosomal RNA", at positions 1 to 1131 of the family's 2925-position model. Lineage: Bacteria; Pseudomonadati; Pseudomonadota; Gammaproteobacteria; Candidatus Competibacteraceae. The record is from RNAcentral.